Molecule: long non-coding RNA, 899 nt
Organism: Dermacentor andersoni
Lineage: Eukaryota; Metazoa; Arthropoda; Arachnida; Ixodida; Ixodidae
Source: RefSeq, a predicted model, not a curated record
GGAUGUGACGUGUGCCAGUGGCGUACUCCCUGCCCCCAGAUAGGUACUUGUACGCCUAGGGAAAGACGCUGCUAGGUGCUGCUGCUAAAUCCCUGUGGUUUCUGCCAGCCACAUGCGGCCAUUGCGGGCUCACGCAGGUUCGUUCGCGUGGUCUUGUUACGCCUCGCUGGAUCGUGUUCAGUCAUGCCGUCCUUGCGCGGCGUGAUUGUCGGUGAGUCAGGUUAAAUUCUUAAAUAGGUCGCGCCUGCGCCUAAUUGAGUCUAUAAAAGCCUGCACAUUCAGUUUUGCUAGCUACAAUGCAGUGCGGCUGGCGUGAGCUGUCUCCACGAUGCGCUUCGAUCGUGUCGAUUUCGCCGUUCUGUAUGUUGGCGUUAACGACCUUGAAUGCAACAUGGAUCCACAAGAAAUGUGCGACAACAUCAAGGCCUUGAUUGUUCAACGAGACGGCCCCCGUCGUGCUGGUUUUCAAGGUGCUCCCUCGCUGCCUAGAAGAUGCUGAUGUAUGUUGGCGUUAACGACCUUGAAUGCAACAUGGAUCCACAAGAAAUGUGCGACAACAUCAAGGCCUUGAUUGUUCAACGAGACGGCCCCCGUCGUGCUGGUUUUCAAGGUGCUCCCUCGCUGCCUAGAAGAUGCUGAUGCGGAAUAGAAAAUGCAAAAACGUCGCUUGCUCAACCGCAAAUUGACGGCUACGCUGAAGCGCAUGCCGUGUCUGCGGAAUUUGAACCCCGAGCUUUCCAGAGUUCCUUGGAAAAUCCUCCCAUGCACCUGCCAUGUACAUUGCCCUCCUCCUCGAUGUGGCGUGCAAGAUGGCAGCAGCAGCUGUGGGAACAGUUGAAGAGGCGAAGAAAGGUCCACUUUAUAAUAGGUUGUAUGUAAAUAAAACUGAUCGACCUCAA